This 45-nucleotide non-coding RNA is filed under the name Echinostoma caproni. Lineage: Eukaryota; Metazoa; Platyhelminthes; Trematoda; Plagiorchiida; Echinostomatidae. The record is from RNAcentral.
GCACUGCUGACGAGUCCUAAACAGGACGAAACAGCUGUCCAAUGC